The sequence is a transfer RNA, 73 nucleotides long. It matches the Rfam family "tRNA". From Rfam's summary of the family: Transfer RNA (tRNA) molecules are approximately 80 nucleotides in length. Their secondary structure includes four short double-helical elements and three loops (D, anti-codon, and T loops). The record is from Rfam.
GGAUCUUUAGCUCAGUUGGUAGAGCAGAUGGCCGUUAAUCAUCAAGUCCCAGGUUCGAUUCCUGGAGGAUCCG